Molecule: ribosomal RNA, 253 nt
Filed under: uncultured bacterium
Lineage: Bacteria
Description: partial 16S ribosomal RNA
Rfam family: Bacterial small subunit ribosomal RNA
Source: RNAcentral
UACGAAGGGUGCAAGCGUUACUCGGAAUUACUGGGCGUAAAGCGUGCGUAGGUGGUCUGUUAAGUCUGAUGUGAAAGCCCUGGGCUCAACCUGGGAAUUGCAUUGGAUACUGGCAGGCUAGAGUGCGGUAGAGGGUAGUGGAAUUCCCGGUGUAGCAGUGAAAUGCGUAGAGAUCGGGAGGAACACCAGUGGCGAAGGCGACUACCUGGACCAGCACUGACACUGAGGCACGAAAGCGUGGGGAUCAAACAGG